RNAcentral lists this RNase P RNA (390 nucleotides) under Halobacterium jilantaiense. Its description in RNAcentral is "Archaeal RNase P". It matches the Rfam family "Archaeal RNase P". From Rfam's summary of the family: Ribonuclease P (RNase P) is a ubiquitous endoribonuclease, found in archaea, bacteria and eukarya as well as chloroplasts and mitochondria. Its best characterised activity is the generation of mature 5'-ends of tRNAs by cleaving the 5'-leader elements of precursor-tRNAs. Cellular RNase Ps are ribonucleoproteins. The record is from Rfam by way of RNAcentral. Lineage: Archaea; Methanobacteriati; Methanobacteriota; Halobacteria; Halobacteriales; Halobacteriaceae.
GGCAGAGGGAGCCCGGCUCCCGUGCCGCGAGGCAUGAGGAAAGUCCCCCCACCCGUUCGGGCACGCGGCCGGACGCAAGUCCGGGGCGGGAGACCGCCGGCACUGGAACAGAGACGACACGUCCCUCCGACACCGAUGAGGCGUGCGACCCGACCCGGAAGGGGAGGAAGCUAACCCGCCGAGGGAAGCGCGGCUCUGCCGCGUUGAGGCGAACGGCGUCAGCCGUGAGCCAGUGUGGGAUUCCCACCAGAGCGGAGGGGAGCGAUGGAACGGCCAACCCCCGCCGGUGCAAGUCCGUGCGUGCGAGGUAGCCCGAACCACCCGAGAGGGGCCGCGCGGACGCUCAGCCGAAUGCCGGGCCGAACAGAAGGGGGCUUACUCCCCUCAGCU